This 397-nucleotide ribosomal RNA is filed under the name Triticum aestivum (bread wheat). RNAcentral describes it as "partial small subunit ribosomal RNA". Lineage: Eukaryota; Viridiplantae; Streptophyta; Magnoliopsida; Poales; Poaceae. The record is from RNAcentral.
AUAUAUAUCUUUCAAAGAUUCACUAAAAAGACAGUUGGCGGGUCUCUUUGUAUGUCUUGUCCGGAAAGAGGAGGACUUAAUGAUUAUUCGUUCGCCGGAACCAGAAGUAAAAAUUGUUGUGGAUAGGGAUCCUGUAAAAACAUCUUUUGAGGAAUGGGCCAGACCCGGCCAUUUCUCAAGAACACUAGCUAAGGGCCCUGAUACUACCACUUGGAUCUGGAACCUACAUGCUGAUGCUCACGAUUUCGAUAGUCAUACUGGUGAUUUGGAGGAGAUUUCUCGAAAAGUCUUUAGUGCUCAUUUCGGGCAACUUUCCAUUAUCUUUCUUUGGUUGAGUGGCAUGUACUUUCAUGGCGCCCGUUUUUCCAAUUAUGAAGCAUGGCUAAGUGAUCCUACU